AGCAGCCGCGGUAAUUCCAGCUCCAAUAGCGUAUAUUAAAGUUGUUGCAGUUAAAAAGCUCGUAGUUGAAUUUCGGGAUCAAAUUGUUGGUCGUGCCUCGGUACGCACUGGUAUUAUUGGUUCCUACCUUCUGAAGAACCGCGAUGUCAUUAAUUUGGUGUCGUGGGGAAUCAGGACUGUUACUUUGAAAAAUUAGAGUGUUUAAAGCAGGCUUACGCUUGAAUACAUUAGCAUGGAAUAAUGAAAUAGGACGUUUGAUUCUAUUUUGUUGGUUUCUAGGAUUGACGUAAUGAUUAAUGGGGAUAGUUGGGGGCAUUAGUAUUCAAUUGUCAGAGGUGAAAUUCUUGGAUUUAUUGAAGACUAACUACUGCGAAAGCAUUUGCCAAGGAUGUUUUCAUUAAUCAAGAACGAAAGUUAGGGGAUCGAAGACGAUCAGAUACCUUCGUAGUCUUAACCAUAAACUAUGCCGACUAGGGAUCGGAUGAUGUAAUUUUUAAUGACUCAUUCGGCGCCUUACGGG
RNAcentral lists this ribosomal RNA (520 nucleotides) under uncultured Glomus. RNAcentral's name for it is "SSU rRNA". It matches the Rfam family "Eukaryotic small subunit ribosomal RNA", at positions 569 to 1094 of the family's 1831-position model. Lineage: Eukaryota; Fungi; Glomeromycota; Glomeromycetes; Glomerales; Glomeraceae. The record is from RNAcentral.